GAUGAACGCUGGCGGCGUGCUUAACACAUGCAAGUCGAACGAGAAGUGGAGACGGAAACCUUCGGGCGGAAGACUUUAUUUCGAGUGGCGGACGGGUGAGUAACGCGUGGGUAACCUGCCUCAUACAGGGGGAUAACAGUUGGAAACGACUGUUAAUACCGCAUAAGACCACAGCACCGCAUGGUGCGGGGGUAAAAACUCCGGUGGUAUGAGAUGGACCCGCGUUCGAUUAGCCAGUUGGCGGGGUAACGGCCCACCAAAGCGACGAUCGAUAGCCGAUCUGAGAGGAUGACCGGCCACAUUGGGACUGAGACACGGCCCAAACUCCUACGGGAGGCAGCAGUGGGGAAUAUUGCACAAUGGGGGAAACCCUGAUGCAGCGACGCCGCGUGAGUGAAGAAGUAUUUCGGUAUGUAAAGCUCUAUCAGCAGGGAAGAAAAUGACGGUACCUGAGUAAGAAGCCCCGGCUAACCACGUG
RNAcentral lists this ribosomal RNA (478 nucleotides) under uncultured bacterium. RNAcentral describes it as "partial 16S ribosomal RNA". It matches the Rfam family "Bacterial small subunit ribosomal RNA", at positions 28 to 507 of the family's 1533-position model. The record is from RNAcentral.